Molecule: long non-coding RNA, 1025 nt
Organism: Oncorhynchus tshawytscha (Chinook salmon)
Lineage: Eukaryota; Metazoa; Chordata; Actinopteri; Salmoniformes; Salmonidae
Exons: 4
Source: RefSeq, a predicted model, not a curated record
AGGGUGAAUGGGCAAGACAAAAAAUAUUGAAGUGCCUUUGAACAGGGUGUGGUAAUGGUGGAACUUAACAUUAGGACAGUGUACUUAAUGCUUUGUAAACUCAGUGUAGGUCAUUGUCUGUUUUAGACUACAGCAUUUACACCUGCAGGAGAACCACAUCUCAGUAGUACCAAAGGUGUUACCGAGGAACCUGGAACAGAAGGGAUAUUUGUAACAACCGCAGGUGUGUCUGGAACAAAAUUGUGAUUGAACAGGAUUUCGGGAAUCCUCCUGUCUCUGAGGGGUUGGAGACUGAAUACAUUAAUGGAUGAGUGUGGUCAAUCCAAAAACUAUUCCCCCACUCACACAUUCCUGGAUGCUGAGGACAGAGGAAUUGUAUGGAGCGUACGGUUUGCUACUACCAGAGCUUUGUUUCCUCAAUGUGGCUGAUCAUAAGAUUGUUGAGGAAGAAGCACUGUUGUCUGUAGCUGUGUUUGCUCAGUGAGCUUGUUAUUCACUCCAACCCACUGACCACAUGGGGGAAGUGGUCACCCCUGUACUGCUGACUGACUUCCUCCAGGAAAGGCUGGGUAUUAGAAUUAGGUGCAAGAAGACAUCAGGGGCUGGUUUCCAAGACCCAGAUUAAGCCUUGACUAAAAUACAUUCUCAAUAGACUCUCCAUUGAAAAUACUUUUUAGUCCAGGACUAGGCUUUCUGUGUCUAGGAAAUUGGCACCAGACGUUGUGAAACCUUUUGAUAUUAUGUGUUGAUUCCAAACGACAGGUUCAAAUGCAAAAACAAUUGAAUCCACAUUUUGGCUUUGCAUUCACCUGGAAAGUUAAAUAUGACUGGACAGUCUUUGUUUUCAUUUCAAUAUUUUGUAAACACUGCAUUUUGGUCUAACAGUGACUCACUUUUGAUAUUGAAACUAAUUGAUGAACAUUCAUCUUUCUCUAGGUAAUUUGUUAAAAUCCCUGUUUUGUUUGCUUCCAUUUAACUAAUGUUUUUCAACAGAAUCAUCAGCAUGAAUAAACCCCUGAUCACGA